GUGACUGUAACGGCAGUAAUGAUGUAUCUUCACUUUUUUUACUACAGGAAUCACUUAGUGGAGUUUAAAGUACCAAAUUCAUAUGAUGCCUAAUGUGUAUCUGGUUUUAUAUUUCAGAAUGCCAAAGCUUUGAAAGCAAAAAAGGAAGAGGGCAAUCUGGCUUUUAAAAGUGGUAACUAUGAACUGGCAUCUAAACUAUACACAGAAGCACUUGAAAUAGACCCCAAUAACAUCAAAACAAACGCCAAACUAUACUGUAACCGCGGCACUGUUAAUGCAAAGCUUAAGAAACGAGACGAGGCGAUAGAAGACUGUAGCAAUGCAAUAAAACUGGACGAAACAUAUAUUAAGGCAUAUUUACGAAGAGCGCAAUGGUU
Molecule: long non-coding RNA, 377 nt
Organism: Bombina bombina (fire-bellied toad)
Lineage: Eukaryota; Metazoa; Chordata; Amphibia; Anura; Bombinatoridae
Exons: 2
Source: RefSeq, a predicted model, not a curated record